AUUUAAGAAGCGCCAGAACUUUACUUGUGAGUAAAGUUGACGAGGAAUGGAGAAUAUCGAAAAUUCGGCGGGUACUCCAUAGAGUCUACACUCUUAGAAACAGAACAAAUAUUUUUAGUGAUAAAAAUGACAAAUAUGUUUCAA
Molecule: non-coding RNA, 144 nt
Filed under: fish gut metagenome
Description: glmS glucosamine-6-phosphate activated ribozyme
Rfam family: glmS glucosamine-6-phosphate activated ribozyme aptamer
About the family: This entry contains a glucosamine-6-phosphate activated ribozyme that is found in the mRNA for GlmS. GlmS is an enzyme that uses fructose-6-phosphate and glutamine to generate glucosamine-6-phosphate.
Source: RNAcentral